CAGCGGCAGACGGGUGAGUAACGCGUGGGAACGUACCUUUUGGUUCGGAACAACACAGGGAAACUUGUGCUAAUACCGGAUAAGCCCUUACGGGGAAAGAUUUAUCGCCGAAAGAUCGGCCCGCGUCUGAUUAGCUAGUUGGUGAGGUAACGGCUCACCAAGGCGACGAUCAGUAGCCGGUCUGAGAGGAUGAUCAGCCACAUUGGGACUGAGACACGGCCCAAACUCCUACGGGAGGCAGCAGUGGGGAAUAUUGGACAAUGGGGGCAACCCUGAUCCAGCCAUGCCGCGUGAGUGAUGAAGGCCCUAGGGUUGUAAAGCUCUUUUGUGCGGGAAGAUAAUGACGGUACCGCAAGAAUAAGCCCCGGCUAACUUCGUGCCAGCAGCCGCGGUAAUACGAAGGGGGCUAGCGUUGCUCGGAAUCACUGGGCGUAAAGGGUGCGUAGGCGGGUCUUUAAGUCAGAGGUGAAAUCCUGGAGCUCAACUCCAGAACUGCCUUUGAUACUGAGGAUCUCGAGUUCGGGAGAGGUGAGUGGAACUGCGAGUGUAGAGGUGAAAUUCGUAGAUAUUCGCAAGAACACCAGUGGCGAAGGCGGCUCACUGGCCCGAUACUGACGCUGAGGCACGAAAGCGUGGGGAGCAAACAGGAUUAGAUACCCUGGUAGUCCACGCCGUANACGAUGAAUGCCAGCCGUUGGGAAG
This 702-nucleotide ribosomal RNA is filed under the name uncultured bacterium. RNAcentral describes it as "bacterial SSU rRNA". It matches the Rfam family "Bacterial small subunit ribosomal RNA", at positions 93 to 830 of the family's 1533-position model. The record is from RNAcentral.